CCUACGGGUGGCAGCAGUCGAGAAUCAUUCACAAUGGGGGAAACCCUGAUGGUGCGACGCCGCGUGGGGGAAUGAAGGUCUUCGGAUUGUAAACCCCUGUCAUGUGGGAGCAAAUUAAAAAGAUAGUACCACAAGAGGAAGAGACGGCCAACUCUGUGCCAGCAGCCGCGGUAAUACAGCGGUCUCAAGCGUUGUUCGGAAUCACUGGGCGUAAAGGGUGCGUAGGCUGUUUCGUAAGUCGUGUGUGAAAGGCGCGGGCUCAACCCGCGGACGGCACAUGAUACUGCGAGACUAGAGUAAUGGAGGGGGAACCGGAAUUCUCGGUGUAGCAGUGAAAUGCGUAGAUAUCGAGAGGAACACUCGUGGCGAAGGCGGGUUCCUGGACAUUAACUGACGCUGAGGCACGAAGGCCAGGGGAGCGAAAGGGAUUAGAUACCCCUGUAGUC
RNAcentral lists this ribosomal RNA (446 nucleotides) under uncultured bacterium. RNAcentral describes it as "partial 16S ribosomal RNA". It matches the Rfam family "Bacterial small subunit ribosomal RNA", at positions 338 to 795 of the family's 1533-position model. The record is from RNAcentral.